ACGGGUGAGUAACACGUGAGCAACCUGCCCUAGGCUUUGGGAUAACCCCGGGAAACCGGGGCUAAUACCGAAUAGGACCUGCUACCGCAUGGUGGUGGGUGGAAAGUUUUUCGGCCUGGGAUGGGCUCGCGGCCUAUCAGCUUGUUGGUGGGGUGAUGGCCUACCAAGGCGACGACGGGUAGCCGGCCUGAGAGGGCGACCGGCCACACUGGGACUGAGACACGGCCCAGACUCCUACGGGAGGCAGCAGUGGGGAAUAUUGCACAAUGGGCGGAAGCCUGAUGCAGCGACGCCGCGUGAGGGAUGACGGCCUUCGGGUUGUAAACCUCUUUCAGCAGGGACGAAGCGUAAGUGACGGUACCUGCAGAAGAAGCGCCGGCCAACUACGUGCCAGCAGCCGCGGUAAGACGUAGGGCGCGAGCGUUGUCCGGAUUUAUUGGGCGUAAAGAGCUCGUAGGCGGCUUGUCGCGUCGACUGUGAAAACCCGCAGCUCAACUGCGGGCCUGCAGUCGAUACGGGCAGGCUAGAGUUCGGUAGGGGAGACUGGAAUUCCUGGUGUAGCGGUGAAAUGCGCAGAUAUCAGGAGGAACACCGGUGGCGAAGGCGGGUCUCUGGGCCGAUACUGACGCUGAGGAGCGAAA
This 641-nucleotide ribosomal RNA is filed under the name Micromonospora sp. I15A-00850. Its description in RNAcentral is "bacterial SSU rRNA". It matches the Rfam family "Bacterial small subunit ribosomal RNA", at positions 102 to 758 of the family's 1533-position model. Lineage: Bacteria; Bacillati; Actinomycetota; Actinomycetes; Micromonosporales; Micromonosporaceae. The record is from RNAcentral.